This 1058-nucleotide long non-coding RNA is filed under the name Gossypium barbadense (sea-island cotton). RNAcentral describes it as "long non-coding RNA (GBAR_LNC000623)". Lineage: Eukaryota; Viridiplantae; Streptophyta; Magnoliopsida; Malvales; Malvaceae. The record is from RNAcentral.
AGCUCAAGAGCAAAGGGGAAAUAAAUCCGAUAAAGGGAAGGAAAAAGUGGUUGAAUAGCUAGCGGAAUCGUUCGACAACACCCGAGGUAAGUUCUUGAGUAAGAGAGCUUAAAUUACGAUGUGAUUAAAUCAUGCUCUAUGUGAGGCUAUUGAGCCGAAUGUGCAAGGAUGAUAUGUGCCUUGUGUUUGAGUUUCGCAAAUGAAAAUGAAAUAUGAAUGUGCCAUGAAUUAUUGUUAGAUGUGCAUGAUUAAUUGAAUGCUGUCCGGGCUAAGUCCCGAAGGCUUUGUGCUAAGUGAAUAUAUCCGGACUAAGAUCCGAAGGCCUUUGUGCGAGAUAUUAAAUCCGGGUUAAGUCCCGAAGGCAUUCGUGCGAGUUGUUAAAUCCGGGUUAAGUCCCGAAGCCAUUCGUGCGAGUUGUUAAAUCCGGGUUAUGUCCCGAAGGCAUUGUGUGAGUUACUAAAACCGGGCUAUGUCCCGAAGGCAUUUGAACGAGGAGCUAUAUCCGGUUAAAUCCCGAAGGUACGUGAUUUGGUAAUGAAUGAGCUUGCUGUAAAAUUCCAGCGAAUACUCGAAAAACAUCCCAAUAUGGGGAUAUGUUACGUAUGUGUUGAAUUUAAUCGAGCCCUUACAAAUAAAUGUUCGCUCAGUUGAUAAACGAGCUACCGGCCUUCGGCUAAGUUAGUCUAUUGUGUAUGUACAUAAGGGUUGUUAAUGUUGUGAAGCAAGUUUGAUAUCGGUAAAUUGCGUAUUAUGAAAUAUUCCAUUUAGCUAAAUGUGUGUUAUUCUUUGUUUAUGCUGGAAUUCCUUGCUCAAAACUUACUAAGCAUAAAUUGCUUACUUCGUUCCAUUGCUCCUCUGUUUUAUAGAUUUUUUUGGUUCUCCAGCUAUCGGACUCGGGAUCUUGACGUCGAAGUCGCCCACACUAUCAAAGGCUCUUUUGGGUACUAUUUUGGUUGAAUUUUGAUAUGGCAUGUAUAGGACUACCCAUUGUUGUCUUUCGAGUACUUUAUGAAAUGUAUAAGUGUACAGCCAUGCGAAAAUGGCUUGUAGAAGUGGAG